GCAUAUCAAUAAGCGGAGGAAAAGAAACUAACAAGGAUUCCCCUAGUAACGGCGAGCGAAGCGGGAAGAGCUCAAAUUUGAAAUCUGGUGGCCUCAGGUCAUCCGAGUUGUAAUCUAUAGAAGUGUUUUCCGUGCUGGCCCAUGUACAAGUCCCUUGGAACAGGGCGUCAUAGAGGGUGAGAAUCCCGUCCUUGACAUGGACUACCAGUGCUCUGUGAUACACUUUCAACGAGUCGAGUUGUUUGGGAAUGCAGCUCAAAAUGGGUGGUAAAUUCCAUCUAAAGCUAAAUAUUGGCGAGAGACCGAUAGCGAACAAGUACCGUGAGGGAAAGAUGAAAAGCACUUUGGAAAGAGAGUUAAACAGUAUGUGAAAUUGUUGAAAGGGAAACGAUUGAAGUCAGUCGUGCUCAAUGGACUCAGCCGUUCUGCGGUGUAUUUCCAUUGGGUGGGGUCAACAUCAGUUUUGAUCGCUGGAUAAAGGCAGGAGGAAUGUAGCACCCCCGGGUGAACUUAUAGCCUCUUGUCACAUACAGUGGUUGGGACUGAGGAACGCAGCAUGCCUUUAUGGCCGGGAUUCGUCCACGUACAUGCUUAGGAUGUUGACAUAAUGGCUUUAAACGACCCGUCUUGAAACACGGACC
This 641-nucleotide ribosomal RNA is filed under the name Filobasidium uniguttulatum. Its description in RNAcentral is "eukaryotic LSU rRNA". It matches the Rfam family "Eukaryotic large subunit ribosomal RNA", at positions 38 to 667 of the family's 3401-position model. The record is from RNAcentral. Lineage: Eukaryota; Fungi; Basidiomycota; Tremellomycetes; Filobasidiales; Filobasidiaceae.